Molecule: ribosomal RNA, 484 nt
Filed under: uncultured bacterium
Lineage: Bacteria
Description: partial 16S ribosomal RNA
Rfam family: Bacterial small subunit ribosomal RNA
Source: RNAcentral
AUUGAACGCUGGCGGCAUGCUUUACACAUGCAAGUCGAACGGCAGCGCGGGCUUCGGCCUGGCGGCGAGUGGCGAACGGGUGAGUAAUGCAUCGGAACGUGCCCAGUAGUGGGGGAUAGCCCGGCGAAAGCCGGAUUAAUACCGCAUACGACCUGAGGGUGAAAGCGGGGGACCGAAAGGCCUCGCGCUAUUGGAGCGGCCGAUGUCGGAUUAGCUAGUUGGUGGGGUAAAGGCUUACCAAGGCGACGAUCCGUAGCUGGUCUGAAAGGACGACCAGCCACACUGGGACUGAGACACGGCCCAGACUCCUGCGGGAGGCAGCAGUGGGGAAUUUUGGACAAUGGGGGCAACCCUGAUCCAGCCAUGCCGCGUGCGGGAAGAAGGCCUUCGGGUUGUAAACCGCUUUUGUUCGGGAAGAAAUCCUCUGGGCUAAUACCCCGGGGGGAUGACGGUACCGGAAGAAUAAGCACCGGCUAACUACGUG